AGAAAUUUAGGUUAAUAAUAAACCAAGAACCUUCAAAGUUCUAGAUAUGAGCCAUCAACCUCAUAAUUCCUG
Molecule: transfer RNA, 72 nt
Filed under: Agamura persica
Lineage: Eukaryota; Metazoa; Chordata; Lepidosauria; Squamata; Gekkonidae
Description: tRNA-Trp
Source: RNAcentral